UACAGAGGUCUCAAGCGUUGUUCGGAUUCAUUGGGCGUAAAGGGCUCGUAGGCGGCCAACUAAGUCGGAUGUGAAAUCCCCAGGCUCAACCUGGGAACUGCAUCCGAUACUGGAUGGCUUGAAUUCGGGAGAGGGAUGCAGAAUUCCAGGUGUAGCGGUGAAAUGCGUAGAUAUCAGGAGGAACACCGGUGGCGAAGGCGGGUCUCUGGGCCGACAUUGACGCUGAGGAGCGAAAGCGUGGGGAGCAAACAGG
RNAcentral lists this ribosomal RNA (253 nucleotides) under uncultured bacterium. RNAcentral's name for it is "partial 16S ribosomal RNA". It matches the Rfam family "Bacterial small subunit ribosomal RNA", at positions 524 to 776 of the family's 1533-position model. The record is from RNAcentral.